ACACUCCUACGGGAGGCAGCAGUGGGGAAUUUUGGACAAUGGGCGAAAGCCUGAUCCAGCAAUGCCGCGUGAGUGAAGAAGGCCUUCGGGUUGUAAAGCUCUUUUGUCAGGGAAGAAACGGUGAAAGCUAAUAUCUUUUGCUAAUGACGGUACCUGAAGAAUAAGCACCGGCUAACUACGUGCCAGCAGCCGCGGUAAUACGUAGGGUGCAAGCGUUAAUCGGAAUUACUGGGCGUAAAGCGUGCGCAGGCGGUUUUGUAAGUCUGAUGUGAAAUCCCCGGGCUCAACCUGGGAAUUGCAUUGGAGACUGCAAGGCUAGAAUCUGGCAGAGGGGGGUAGAAUUCCACGUGUAGCAGUGAAAUGCGUAGAUAUGUGGAGGAACACCGAUGGCGAAGGCAGCCCCCUGGGUCAAGAUUGACGCUCAUGCACGAAAGCGUGGGGAGCAAACAGGAUUAGAAACCCUUGUAGUCCC
This 472-nucleotide ribosomal RNA is filed under the name uncultured organism. RNAcentral's name for it is "partial 16S ribosomal RNA". It matches the Rfam family "Bacterial small subunit ribosomal RNA", at positions 333 to 797 of the family's 1533-position model. The record is from RNAcentral.